CCUACGGGAGGCAGCAGUGGGGAAUAUUGCGCAAUGGGCGAAAGCCUGACGCAGCGACGCCGCGUGAGGGAUGAAGGUCUUCGGAUCGUAAACCACUGUCAGAAGGGAAGAACGGUCACUGUGCUAAUCAGCAGUGAAUUGACGGUACCUGCAAAGGAAGCACCGGCUAACUCCGUGCCAGCAGCCGCGGUAAUACGGAGGGUGCGAGCGUUAAUCGGAAUUACUGGGCGUAAAGCGCUCGUAGGCGGUAUGUCAAGUCAAGGGUGAAAUCCCCGCGCUUAACGUGGGAACUGCCUUUGAAACUGGCAAACUAGAGUUGGUGAGAGGGUAGUGGAAUUCCAUGUGUAGGAGUGAAAUGCGUAGAUAUGUGGAGGAACAUCAGUGGCGAAGGCGACUAUCUGGCACAAAACUGACGCUGAGGAGCGAAAGCGUGGGGAGCAAACAGGAUUAGAUACCCCUGUAGUC
This 465-nucleotide ribosomal RNA is filed under the name uncultured bacterium. Its description in RNAcentral is "partial 16S ribosomal RNA". It matches the Rfam family "Bacterial small subunit ribosomal RNA", at positions 338 to 795 of the family's 1533-position model. The record is from RNAcentral.